RNAcentral lists this ribosomal RNA (208 nucleotides) under uncultured Acholeplasma sp. Its description in RNAcentral is "partial 16S ribosomal RNA". It matches the Rfam family "Bacterial small subunit ribosomal RNA", at positions 1174 to 1382 of the family's 1533-position model. The record is from RNAcentral. Lineage: Bacteria; Bacillati; Mycoplasmatota; Mollicutes; Acholeplasmatales; Acholeplasmataceae.
UGGGGAUGACGUCAAAUCAUCAUGCCCCUUAUGACCUGGGCUACAAACGUGAUACAAUGGCUGGAACAAAGGGAGGCGAAGGGGUGACCUGGAGCGAAACCCAAAAAUACAGUCUCAGUUCGGAUUGAAGUCUGAACUCGACUUCAUGAAGUCGGAAUCGCUAGUAAUCGCGGAUCAGAACGCCGCGGUGAAUACGUUCUCGGGGUUU